This 303-nucleotide ribosomal RNA is filed under the name Triticum aestivum (bread wheat). RNAcentral's name for it is "partial small subunit ribosomal RNA". Lineage: Eukaryota; Viridiplantae; Streptophyta; Magnoliopsida; Poales; Poaceae. The record is from RNAcentral.
AUGGAGAAGCUCAUCUACCUUGGCAGCGGCCUCGACGCGGCCCCAGAGGUGGUUUAUGGUGACGGCGACGAGUUCGUGAACUUGAUGAGCAUACUAGCGCUUGACACAGUGAUCUGUGGAGACCCGAGACUGGAGUACUAUGAUUCUAUCAAGAUUGCCAAUACAUCUCACCUUUGCGUUGUCUCGGAUGAUCUCGCCGUGGAGCGUUUGGUUGGCGAGAUUCUUUAUGCGGCUACUCGCGCCGGAGAUAUGCAUGAAAUAAUACAAACAACCAGGAAACCAGCUAUUGGGGUCUGUGGGUAG